RNAcentral lists this long non-coding RNA (1185 nucleotides) under Phasianus colchicus (ring-necked pheasant). Its description in RNAcentral is "lncRNA (ENSPCLG00000003498.1)". The record is from RNAcentral. Lineage: Eukaryota; Metazoa; Chordata; Aves; Galliformes; Phasianidae.
AAAAGGAAAAAAAUUACCCAGGACUCAAUUCAGGAUAGGGGUGGAGAUCCCUCUGCUUUACCUGCUUGUGCUGGGACAAAGCUGCACAUACCACCUUGAUGCUCAGUGAGAAGAUGACCGGGCUGUCAUCCUUCUUACUGCUCCAGAGCACCCAGGAAACACUACUUGCCUACCUGGUGGAUCUGCAUAGCUUCAGAACCUACCUGCCCCUGGACAUCCCCUAAGAGGGAAGAAUUUGCCCAUUUUCCCAGAAGCUAUUUAAUGGGAGGAGAUUGCAGCUUGUUGAGAUGAACACUGCUUGGAGCUCCAAUGGAUAUGCCUCCACUAUACAGACUGAUUGCAAAUCUGCCUCUCUACCCUCAGGUGCCUAUUUCACCAUUUCCUAGAAGCACCCCACUGCAGACACUGGCACUGCACUGCACCUGGAACUGAAAGUUCAACAGAUUCAAAGUGUAUCUGUCAGUGGUGGUUGCUGAUGGAGAUCACUGAAGCAGAUCCUGACUCACUUUCAGACUGUAGGAAGAUCUGAAGCAAAGUUUCAAGAGCACCAGAGCAGAGCUCAGAAGAGAUGAAAUUUCUUCUCCUGGUGAAGAAGCAGCAGGAUUCAGAGCAUUGUGGGGAGGCAAAGGAUGAGGUUUUGAAAUUUGUGGCUUAUUGUGGAUGGCCAGAUGGAUGUGAGAGUAAAGAAGACUGUCUACUCAACAUUUUCACAGAGAAAACUGCCAAGCCAGAAAGUGAAGUCCAUGUAAAUCCAGGAGGGAAAAAGAACAGGAAUGGUCAAAAACGAAGUCCUGUGGCUAUUGGAACAUCAUCAGUUCUGGCUUCUGGAGGCCUGGUCCACCACAUUACAACCAUGGAAGAAGGUGUUUUUAAAGUAAUUAUUUAAAUAGUGUUAAUUAGCUCUAUAAAAAUGAAAAAGCUUUUUUUCUUUUUUUUUUUUCUUUUUUUUUCUUUUUUUUUCCCAUUGAGGAUCAUAAUAGGAUUUAUUUCUAUGAGAAAAAAUAAGGCUUUUUCAUAUUUCUUCAGCUUAUUAAAUUACCUCAUGUUCUUUUAACCCGCAUUAGAUUAAUAGCAAGGGAAAUUUCAAAUACAACUUGAUGUGAUUUAAUAUGUUUUCCCUUCAUCAGCCUGAUUACUUAGAGACCACAUUCCUCAAACUCUUUCCUGCCGUGCCGAUCAUUCAGC